Molecule: ribosomal RNA, 369 nt
Filed under: uncultured eukaryote
Lineage: Eukaryota
Description: partial 18S ribosomal RNA
Rfam family: Eukaryotic small subunit ribosomal RNA
Source: RNAcentral
CAAUAGCGUAUAUUAAAGUUGUUGCAGUUAAAAAGCUCGUAGUCGGAUGUCGGGCUCGGGCAGGCUGUCGGCUUCGGUCGGACGGCAGGCUCGGGUCUUUCUGCCUGAGGAUCCAUCUCAUUCACUUGGGGUGGGGACGCAGGCCGUUUACUUUGAAAAAAUUAGAGUGUUCAAAGCAGGCCUACGCUUGAAUACAUUAGCAUGGAAUAAUGGAAUAGGACUUUGGUGCUAUUUUGUUGGUUUAUGGGACCGAAGUAAUGAUUAACAGGGACAGUUGGGGCCGUUUAUAUUUCGUUGUCAGAGGUGAAAUUCUUGGAUUUACGAAAGAUAAACUUCUGCGAAAGCAUUCGGCAAGGAUGUUUUCAUUGA